This 2577-nucleotide ribosomal RNA is filed under the name Clostridium perfringens. RNAcentral's name for it is "partial 23S ribosomal RNA". It matches the Rfam family "Bacterial large subunit ribosomal RNA", at positions 313 to 2903 of the family's 2925-position model. Lineage: Bacteria; Bacillati; Bacillota; Clostridia; Eubacteriales; Clostridiaceae. The record is from RNAcentral.
AAAGUGGAGGCUAUUGUAACUGAAGAGAACUGGAAAGUUCCACCGUAGAAGGUAAUAGUCCUGUAAGUGAAACGAGAAGACCACGAGUUAUGAUCCAGAGUACCACGAGACACGUGAAACCUUGUGGGAAGCAGGGAGGACCACCUCCCAAGGCUAAAUACUACCUGAUGACCGAUAGUGAAGCAGUACCGUGAGGGAAAGGUGAAAAGAACCCCGGGAGGGGAGUGAAAUAGAACCUGAAACCGUGUGCCUACAACCGCUCAGAGCCCCUUAUGAGGGUGAUGAGGUGCUUUUUGUAGAACGAGCCAACGAGUUACGGUAUGUAGCAAGGUUAAGUACUUAAGGUACGGAGCCGAAGGGAAACCGAGUCUGAAUAGGGCGACUAGUUGCAUGCCGUAGACCCGAAACCGGGUGACCUAUCCAUGGCCAGGUUGAAGCGAGGGUAAAACCUCGUGGAGGACCGAACCACGUUGCUGUUGAAAAAGCAUGGGAUGAGCUGUGGAUAGCGGAGAAAUUCCAAUCGAACCCGGAGAUAGCUGGUUCUCUCCGAAAUAGCUUUAGGGCUAGCGUCGAGUAUGAGUAGUGGAGGUAGAGCACUGAAUGGGCUAGGGGGCAUAGCGCUUACCGAACCUUAUCAAACUCCGAAUGCCACAUACUUUGAGCUCGGCAGUCAGACUACGAAUGAUAAGAUCCGUGGUCAAAAGGGAAACAGCCCAGAUCGUCAGCUAAGGUCCCAAAGUGUAAGUUAAGUGGGAAAGGAUGUGAGAUUUCUAAGACAACUAGGAUGUUGGCUUAGAAGCAGCCAUUCAUUAAAAGAGUGCGUAAUAGCUCACUAGUCGAGAGAUCUUGCGCCGAAAAUGUAACGGGGCUAAACUUACCACCGAAGCUACGGGCUUGAACUUAGUUCAAGCGGUAGGAGAGCGUCGUAACCGGGCUGAAGUCGUACCGUAAGGAGCGGUGGACUGGUUACGAGUGAGAAUGUUGGCAUCAGUAGCGAGAUGUGGGUGAGAAUCCCACAGGCCGAAAACCUAAGGUUUCCUCAGGAAGGUUCGUCCGCUGAGGGUUAGUCGGGACCUAAGCCGAGGCCGAAAGGCGUAGGUGAUGGACAACUGGUUGAUAUUCCAGUACCACUACCAUCGUUAUUAUCGAUGGCGUGACGCAGGAGGAUAGUGUGUGCUAGCUAUUGGAUGCUAGUCUAAGCGUUUAGGCAGUGAGAGUAGGCAAAUCCGCUCUCAUAAUGCUGAGGCGUGAUGGGGAAGGUUCUACGGAACCGAAGUACAUGAUUCCACGCUGCCAAGAAAAGCGUCUAGAGAGAGAAGUAGUGCCCGUACCGCAAACCGACACAGGUAGGUGAGGAGAGAAUCCUAAGGCCGGCGGAAGAAUUACAGUUAAGGAACUCGGCAAAUUGACCCCGUAAGUUCGCGAGAAGGGGUGCCUACGAGAGUAGGCCGCAGAGAAUAGGCCCAAGCAACUGUUUAGCAAAAACACAGGUCUCUGCUAAAGCGUAAGCUGAUGUAUAGGGGCUGACGCCUGCCCGGUGCUGGAAGGUUAAGGGGAACACUUAGCGCAAGCGAAGGUGUGAACUUAAGCCCCAGUAAACGGCGGCCGUAACUAUAACGGUCCUAAGGUAGCGAAAUUCCUUGUCAGGUAAGUUCUGACCCGCACGAAUGGCGUAAUGACUUGGGCACUGUCUCAACUGUAAAUCCGGCGAAGUUGUAGUGCGAGUGAAGAUGCUCGCUACCCGCGAUUGGACGGAAAGACCCCGUAGAGCUUUACUGUAGCUUAGCAUUGAGUUUUGGUAUUGUCUGUACAGGAUAGGUGGGAGACUAGGAAACCAGGGCGUCAGCCUUGGUGGAGUCAACCUUGGGAUACCACCCUGACAGUACUGAAAUUCUAACUGGCGGCCAUGAAUCUGGUCACAGGACAUUGUUAGGUGGGCAGUUUGACUGGGGCGGUCGCCUCCUAAAAAGUAACGGAGGCGCCCAAAGGUUCCCUCAGAACGGUCGGAAAUCGUUCGAAGAGUGCAAAGGCAGAAGGGAGCCUGACUGCGACACCCACAAGUGGAGCAGGGACGAAAGUCGGGCUUAGUGAUCCGGUGGUACCUCGUGGGAGGGCCAUCGCUCAACGGAUAAAAGCUACCUCGGGGAUAACAGGCUGAUCUCCCCCAAGAGUCCACAUCGACGGGGAGGUUUGGCACCUCGAUGUCGGCUCGUCGCAUCCUGGGGCUGAAGUAGGUCCCAAGGGUUGGGCUGUUCGCCCAUUAAAGCGGCACGCGAGCUGGGUUCAGAACGUCGUGAGACAGUUCGGUCCCUAUCCGUCGCGGGCGUAGGAAAUUUGAGAGGAGCUGUCCUUAGUACGAGAGGACCGGGAUGGACUGACCUCUGGUGUACCAGUUGUUCCGCCAGGAGCACAGCUGGGUAGCUAAGUCGGGAAUGGAUAAACGCUGAAAGCAUCUAAGCGUGAAGCCAACCUCAAGAUGAGAUUUCCCAUAGCGUAAGCUAGUAAGAUCCCUUGAAGAACACAAGGUUGAUAGGUCGGGGGUGUAAGCAUGGUAACAUGUUCAGCUGACCGAUACUA